RNAcentral lists this ribosomal RNA (253 nucleotides) under uncultured bacterium. RNAcentral's name for it is "partial 16S ribosomal RNA". It matches the Rfam family "Bacterial small subunit ribosomal RNA", at positions 524 to 776 of the family's 1533-position model. The record is from RNAcentral.
UACGAAGGGGGCUAGCGUUGUUCGGAAUUACUGGGCGUAAAGCGCACGUAGGCGGACUCUUAAGUCAGGGGUGAAAUCCCGGGGCUCAACCUCGGAACUGCCUUUGAUACUGUGAGUCUCGAGACCGGCAGAGGUGAGUGGAAUUCCUAGUGUAGAGGUGCAAUUCGUAGAUAUUAGGAAGAACACCAGUGGCGAAGGCGUCUCACUGGUCCGGUUCUGACGCUGAGGUGCUAAAGCGUGGGGAGCAAACAGG